Molecule: ribosomal RNA, 253 nt
Filed under: uncultured prokaryote
Description: partial 16S ribosomal RNA
Rfam family: Bacterial small subunit ribosomal RNA
Source: RNAcentral
ACAGAGGUGGCAAGCGUUGUUCGGAAUUACUGGGCGUAAAGGGCGCGUAGGCGGCCUACUAAGUCAGACGUGAAAUCCCCCGGCUUAACCUGGGAACUGCGUCUGAUACUGGAAGGCUUGAGUAUGGGAGAGGGAUGUAGAAUUCCAGGUGUAGUGGUGAAAUGCGUAGAUAUCUGGAGGAAUACCGGUGGCGAAGGCGGCAUCCUGGACCGGCAUUGACGCUGAGGAGCGAAAGCCAGGGGAGCAAACGGGA